Molecule: unclassified non-coding RNA, 21 nt
Filed under: Mus musculus (house mouse)
Lineage: Eukaryota; Metazoa; Chordata; Mammalia; Rodentia; Muridae
Description: oocyte_clustered_small_RNA10149
Source: RNAcentral
UCAGCACCUGCGUCAGGAUGG